UACGUAGGUGGCAAGCGUUGUCCGGAUUUAUUGGGCGUAAAGCGCGCGCAGGCGGUGCGGUAAGUCUCUGGUGAAAGCGCUCGGCUUAACUGGGCGAGGGCCGGGGAGACUGCCACGCUGGAGGGGAGCAGAGGCGAGUGGAAUUCCGGGUGUAGUGGUGAAAUGCGUAGAGAUCCGGAGGAACACCAGUGGCGAAGGCGGCUCGCUGGGCUCUGCCUGACGCUGAGGCGCGAAAGCGUGGGGAGCGAGCCGG
RNAcentral lists this ribosomal RNA (253 nucleotides) under uncultured bacterium. RNAcentral's name for it is "partial 16S ribosomal RNA". It matches the Rfam family "Bacterial small subunit ribosomal RNA", at positions 524 to 776 of the family's 1533-position model. The record is from RNAcentral.